CAGUAGCCGCGGUAAUACGGAGGGUGCGAGCGUUGUCCGGAUUUAUUGGGUUUAAAGGGUGCGUAGGUGGCUUUAUAAGUCAGUGGUGAAAUACGGUUGCUCAACAAUCAAGGUGCCAUUGAUACUGUAGAGCUUGAAAUAAUUGGAGGCUGCCGGAAUGGAUGGUGUAGCGGUGAAAUGCAUAGAUAUCAUCCAGAACACCGAUUGCGAAGGCAGGUGGCUACGAUUUGUUUGACACUGAGGCACGAAAGCAUGGGGAGCAAACAGGAUUAGAUACCCGCGUAGUCCCUGUCUCUUAUAC
RNAcentral lists this ribosomal RNA (301 nucleotides) under uncultured bacterium. RNAcentral describes it as "partial 16S ribosomal RNA". It matches the Rfam family "Bacterial small subunit ribosomal RNA", at positions 509 to 807 of the family's 1533-position model. The record is from RNAcentral.